UAAUACGUAGGGUGCGAGCGUUAAUCGGAAUUACUGGGCGUAAAGCGUGCGCAGGCGGGCUUUUAAGCCAGACGUGAAAUCCCCGGGCUUAACCUGGGAAUGGCGUUUGGGACUGGGAGUCUGGAGUGCGGCAGAGGAGACUGGAAUUCCUGGUGUAGCAGUGAAAUGCGUAGAUAUCAGGAGGAACACCGAUGGCGAAGGCAGGUCUCUGGGCUGACACUGACGCUCAUGCACGAAAGCGUGGGGAGCAAACAGGAUUAGAUACCCUGGUAGUCCACGCCCUAAACGAUGUCGACUGGUUGUUGGGGGUUUGACACUCUCAGUAACGAAGCUAACGCGUGAAGUCGACCGCCUGGGGAGUACGGCCGCAAGGUUA
RNAcentral lists this ribosomal RNA (376 nucleotides) under uncultured bacterium. RNAcentral's name for it is "bacterial SSU rRNA". It matches the Rfam family "Bacterial small subunit ribosomal RNA", at positions 521 to 896 of the family's 1533-position model. The record is from RNAcentral.